UAUCACGUUCUUCGUGGUUACAUAAAUUUUAAAUCAGUUCUUAUCGAGCGGAUCCUCGCAUAUACGAAUUUGCAUUAACGUGUUGUUUAAAUUUCGAAAUCGUAAUUAUUACGUAAGUUUCGAUCAUUUUCGAUGCUAUUUUCUGUUUAUUGAUCCACAAUCGUGCACCUCGUGAUUAUUGAGGUUUUCUAUCAUCGAAUCUACGUAUGAGUUUCUUAAAAAUACAAGCUAUGCGAAUACUAUGCCAACUUAUUGUGGGACUCUGUUACAAACUGCCUGGUUGAGAGAGCAUCCUGAUGCGUGAUACUCAUAUGGGCACAGAGCCAAGCAGCUGCGCAAACUGGUAAACAGCAAGCUGUCGAUCGUAAGCCGUCCAAAGCACACUUUACAUCGCAUGCUCCAACAACUCCGCUCUCC
This is a long non-coding RNA of Venturia canescens, 417 nucleotides long. RefSeq lists it as uncharacterized. NCBI's taxonomy places the organism in Eukaryota, Metazoa, Arthropoda, Insecta, Hymenoptera, Ichneumonidae. The transcript is spliced from 3 exons. The record is from RefSeq and is a predicted model, not a curated record.